CAGCAGCCGCGGUAAUACCAGCCCCGCGAGUGGUCGGGACGGUUAUUGGGCCUAAAGCGCCCGUAGCCGGCCCGGCAAGUCCCUCCUUAAAGCCUCGGGCCCAACCCGAGGACGGGGGGGAUACUGCCGGGCUAGGGGGCGGGAGAGGCCGGCGGUACUCCCGGGGUAGGGGCGAAAUCCGUUAAUCCCGGGAGGACCACCAGUGGCGAAGGCGGCCGGCGGGAACGCGCCCGACGGUGAGGGGCGAAAGCCGGGGGAGCGAACCGGAUUAGAUACCCGGGUAGUCCCGGCUGUAAACGAUGCGGGCUAGCUGUGGGGCGGGCUUAGAGCCCGCCCAGUGGCGCAGGGAAGCCGUUAAGUCCGCCGCCUGGGGAGUACGGCCGCAAGGCUGAAACUUAAAGGAAUUGGCGGG
RNAcentral lists this ribosomal RNA (412 nucleotides) under uncultured microorganism. RNAcentral's name for it is "bacterial SSU rRNA". It matches the Rfam family "Archaeal small subunit ribosomal RNA", at positions 459 to 872 of the family's 1478-position model. The record is from RNAcentral.